UAACACACAAUUAAACAAUAUAAUCCAAAGUUCGACCGCAAGGUAAAUAAAGUCUGACAAAAAAUUGUUUCCAACAGGAAUCAAACCAAAAUGAAUAGAUUUUGUCAUGUAAAAUGUAAACAUAAAACAUAUAAUAUGACUCAACAUCAAUCAUACUUAAUUAAAUAACAUAAAACAUUUAUAUUCAUAAGGUCAAGAUGUUGAAAACUAGGUUGAAAAUACAACAAUGCAUACAUUUAAGAUAGGUAAAAAAAUGUAAAACAAAUAUUGCUUUAAUUCUUAGCAAACA
RNAcentral lists this long non-coding RNA (289 nucleotides) under Trifolium pratense (red clover). RNAcentral's name for it is "long non-coding RNA (TPRA_LNC010758)". Lineage: Eukaryota; Viridiplantae; Streptophyta; Magnoliopsida; Fabales; Fabaceae. The record is from RNAcentral.